GCGAGCGGCGGAUGGGUGAGUAACACGUGGGGAACCUGCCCCUAAGUCUGGGAUACCAUUUGGAAACAGGUGCUAAUACCGGAUAAUAAAGCAGAUCGCAUGAUCAGCUUUUGAAAGGCGGCGUAAGCUGUCGCUAAGGGAUGGCCCCGCGGUGCAUUAGCUAGUUGGUAAGGUAACGGCUUACCAAGGCGACGAUGCAUAGCCGAGUUGAGAGACUGAUCGGCCACAUUGGGACUGAGACACGGCCCAAACUCCUACGGGAGGCAGCAGUAGGGAAUCUUCCACAAUGGACGCAAGUCUGAUGGAGCAACGCCGCGUGAGUGAAGAAGGUUUUCGGAUCGUAAAGCUCUGUUGUUGGUGAAGAAGGAUAGAGGUAGUAACUGGCCUUUAUUUGACGGUAAUCAACCAGAAAGUCACGGCUAACUACGUGCCAGCAGCCGCGGUAAUACGUAGGUGGCAAGCGUUGUCCGGAUUUAUUGGGCGUAAAGCGAGCGCAGGCGGAAAAAUAAGCCUAAUGUGAAAGCCCUCGGCUUAACCGAGGAACUGCAUCGGAAACUGUUUUUCUUGAGUGCAGAAGAGGAGAGUGGAACUCCAUGUGUAGCGGUGGAAUGCGUAGAUAUAUGGAAGAACACCAGUGGCGAAGGCGGCUCUCUGGUCUGCAACUGACGCUGAGGCUCGAAAGCAUGGGUAGCGAACAGGAUUAGAUACCCUGGUAGUCCAUGCCGUAAACGAUGAGUGCUAAGUGUUGGGAGGUUUCCGCCUCUCAGUGCUGCAGCUAACGCAUUAAGCACUCCGCCUGGGGAGUACGACCGCAAGGUUGAAACUCAAAGGAAUUGACGGGGGCCCGCAC
RNAcentral lists this ribosomal RNA (850 nucleotides) under uncultured bacterium. RNAcentral describes it as "bacterial SSU rRNA". It matches the Rfam family "Bacterial small subunit ribosomal RNA", at positions 91 to 926 of the family's 1533-position model. The record is from RNAcentral.